GGCCGUGCAGUUUCUUUGUGUGAAGAGUGUAAAAGUGUUUGAGAAGUGGGGGGGGGGUCCUGUCCUGUCCUGUCCUGCCAUGGCCCCCAGCGGACUCGUGGACCCUGGAUUCCUGCGCUCCUCGGAGGGCUCGCUGAGCGUCGCGCAGACGGUGGCGCUGCUGAUCGCCUUCCUCUGUGUGCACUGCUCCUCCUGGUGGACGGACUUCUCUGCAUUCCGCUACUUCCAGGUGGUCACGCUGUGGUUCCUCGUAACGUUCCUCAUCUUCCUCUUCAUGCACAUCUUCAGGCUCCAGAGCAAGAUGCCGUGUAUCAACUGGGCGCUCACGGAGUUCCUGCACUACGCCGUGGGGAUGUUGCUCAUCUUCAUCGCCUCUCUUGUGGCAGCGGUGAAGUCUAGAGGCAUCUUCGCGCUCAUAGCCGGAUCGGUGUUCGGUUUCAUCGCCACCGUCCUGCUCGCCAUCAGCGUGUGCCGCUCCUACAGGGUCGCCUGCGGCUCCCAGCCAACCAGUGAGAGACGCGUCCGUUCACCUCCAGCUUUUUGUUUGGACCCCCGCUGUUGUGUGUGUUCUGGCAGGAACUGCAACCAAACUGCCUUCCUUCUGCACUGGAGGUUUAACUUGGUGGCAGCAGAGACAGGCUGAGCCUGAACUCCAUCGGGGUCCCAGACUGAUGUAGUGUCUCCGUAUUAAUAAUAAGUGUGUUGCGCUAGUCUGAGAUUUAGGUCCCUCGCUGUUGUAGCGAGGGAACAGCUGGUCGCCGGUUUGGGCAUCUCUGGUGUGAAUCGCGGUUAGCAGUCGGAGAAACACCUGUAUGAGGUGCGAACGGGGCAGUAGGACAGUGCGUGUAUCAGGUGAGUGACCCGGACUGAUGGCUGCUCACCACUGGUCACCAGCCUUCUCUUUGACCUCUCCUGAGGGGUCCCAGUGUCCAGUAUUCAGUGUCCGGUGAAAAAGUCCCGCGUUUUCUCUAUGGUUUAAGGCAUUCGGUUUAUUUUCAUUUUGCCAUUUCACAGAGGUGUACAGCGCAAAUAAAGUUUCUCUGUGCGGCUUCAGGUGGCACACGGUAAACAUGGGUCACACGUAUGAAUACAAAUGCAGACAUGACAAUGAUAUGGACAAGGGGACGUCCAGCCACCGAUCUCUGAGGGUAGCGGUAAAUGCAGCAUAGUGUGAGGCCCUCAGGACAAGGUGCAGAUGCCGUGGUGCUGCCAUCUCAUAGGGACACAGCGGUCCUGCUGCCCUCCAUGUUUGAAGACGUGAGACGCGUUCAGAGCACCGUUGUCCCCAAGUGCCACAUGGAGAGCAGGAUCUGUGCCAAGUGUCCUUCCGCUUACUGGGAUGGACACUGAUGUCCUGCAGGUCUGCCAGUUUACAUACUGGGACCGUAUAGGUGUGUUUGACGUUCCCUGUCCAGUCCCAGUGCGCGUGUUCUUUCAGAAAAGGACAAUGUAUUAUGGAGCUUCUGCAGGAAAGAAUCGCUGCUUCCAUUUGUAUCUUUUGCUGAUGUCUUAAGCUUUAAUUUUUACACGAAUACACAAACACUAAUGGAAUUGUGAAGAAUUGCGGUUUUGCUCUAAUGGCUUUUCUUUGCUUGCGGAAAUUUCGAACACGACGAAGGAAGCGCAACGGCCCGUUUUUAGCGACAGCAACUUCACUUACGAUCAAGUGACUUUUUCUGGAAAUACGGAUGUUUUCAGCCCCUGAACGUAUUCCGAUUUCCUCUUUAUAACGGUUAUCCUCAUUAUAAAGAAUAAUAAUGUGAGCGAAUAAAAUUAAUUUGCUCUGUCCACAUGCAGGGCAGAACCAGA
Scleropages formosus (Asian bonytongue) is the source of this 1809-nucleotide RNA transcript. It is a transcript of the gene named CKLF-like MARVEL transmembrane domain containing 7, with no coding region annotated. The record is from RefSeq and is a predicted model, not a curated record. Lineage: Eukaryota; Metazoa; Chordata; Actinopteri; Osteoglossiformes; Osteoglossidae. The transcript has 5 exons.